AAAAAAGGUAAGCUACUAAGAGCGAAUGGUGGAUGCCUUGACUGGUAAAGGCGAUGAAGGACGUACUAGACUGCGAUAAGCUACGGGGAGCUGUCAAGAAGCUUUGAUCCGUAGAUUUCCGAAUGGGGCAACCCAGUAUAUAGAGAUAUAUACUACCAUAAUGGAGCGAACGAGGGGAAUUGAAACAUCUUAGUACCCUCAGGAAAAGAAAUCAAUAGAGAUUAUGUCAGUAGCGGCGAGCGAAAGCGUAAGAGGGCAAACCCAGUGCUUGCACUGGGGGUUGUAGGACUGCAAUGUGCAAUAAGUAAGGUUAGUAGAACACUCUGGAAAGUGUAGCCAUAGAGGGUGAUAGUCCCGUAUACGAAAACCAAACUUUAGCUAGCAGUAUCCUGAGUAGGGCGAAACACGUGGAAUUUUGUCUGAAGCUGGGUCGACCACGAUCCAACCCUAAAUACUAAUACCAGAUCGAUAGUGCACAAGUACCGUGAGGGAAAGGUGAAAAGAACUGAGGUGAUCAGAGUGAAAUAGAACCUGAAACCAUUUGCUUACAAUCAUUCAGAGCACUAUGUAGCAAUACAGUGUGAUGGACUGCCUUUUGCAUAAUGAGCCUGCGAGUUGUGGUGUCUGGCAAGGUUAAGCACACGCGAAGCCGUAGCGAAAGCGAGUCUGAAUAGGGCGCUUAAGUCAGAUGCUGCAGACCCGAAACGAAGUGAUCUAUCCAUGAGCAAGUUGAAGCUAGUGUAAGAACUAGUGGAGGACUGAACCCAUAGGCGUUGAAAAGCCCCGGGAUGACUUGUGGAUAGGGGUGAAAGGCCAAUCAAACUUCGUGAUAGCUGGUUCUCUCCGAAAUAUAUUUAGGUAUAGCGUUGUGUCGUAGUAUAAGGGGGUAGAGCACUGAAUGGGCUAGGGCAUACACCAAUGUACCAAACCCUAUCAAACUCCGAAUACCUUAUAUGUAAUCACAGCAGUCAGGCGGCGAGUGAUAAAAUCCGUCGUCAAGAGGGAAACAACCCAGACUAUCAGCUAAGGUCCCCAAGUCUUACUUAAGUGGAAAACGAUGUGAAGUUACUUAAACAACCAGGAGGUUGGCUUAGAAGCAGCCAUCCUUUAAAGAAAGCGUAAUAGCUCACUGGUCUAGUGAUUUUGCGCGGAAAAUAUAACGGGGCUAAAGUAAGCACCGAAGCUAUAGACUUAGUUUUACUAAGUGGUAGGAGAGCGUUCUAUUUGCGUCGAAGGUAUACCGGUAAGGAGUGCUGGAGCGAAUAGAAGUGAGCAUGCAGGCAUGAGUAGCGAUAAUUAAUGUGAGAAUCAUUAACGCCGUAAACCCAAGGUUUCCUACGCGAUGCUCGUCAUCGUAGGGUUAGUCGGGUCCUAAGUCGAGUCCGAAAGGGGUAGACGAUGGCAAAUUGGUUAAU
This 1415-nucleotide ribosomal RNA is filed under the name Campylobacter lari. Its description in RNAcentral is "partial 23S ribosomal RNA". It matches the Rfam family "Bacterial large subunit ribosomal RNA", at positions 1 to 1434 of the family's 2925-position model. Lineage: Bacteria; Pseudomonadati; Campylobacterota; Epsilonproteobacteria; Campylobacterales; Campylobacteraceae. The record is from RNAcentral.